This is a long non-coding RNA of Serinus canaria (Common canary), 783 nucleotides long. RefSeq lists it as uncharacterized. The record is from RefSeq and is a predicted model, not a curated record. The transcript has 2 exons. NCBI's taxonomy places the organism in Eukaryota, Metazoa, Chordata, Aves, Passeriformes, Fringillidae.
AGCCUCCUCUUCACGGGGUAAUGGCGGCUCAGCUGGUGGGAAGAGAUAGAAAAGGGGCUUCCUUUGCAAAUUCACAAGAAGCAGCCGGUCUCAGAGUCCCUCAGGAAGCUGAAUGGACUGUAGCAAGGAUCUGGGAGCAGCAGGCUGGAACACCAGAGGAGGACAGCACUGCAAGGAGACUGAGGGACUGAUCACUAUCUGCUUGUGUGCCCCGGGAAUCUUGAACUUAGCCUCUCCCUCCCCUGCUCAGAACCGGGCUGCCGCUGUCCCGCCCCCGCUGUUUCUUUGGUACUGCUCUGCAUUUUCUCCAAGCUGUAGCCUGCACCCUGCUGCCUGGCUGGCAUGUCCCUGCAGAUUCCAGCUAUUUGCCGUGGAAUUUUGAGACAUUCUUGUUCACUGCCCCGUGAUUUCUGCUCAUUCCUGCCAUUCCAGCCUGCUGCUUCCGAGAAUCCUGCUAAGGGCACCAGGAUCGGCUGCCCCAGGGGUUUGUGAAGCAAAGCCUCUCUUCCAUCCCUUCCCGUCUCGGCCAAGCUGCCAUUGCCACGUGCUCCGCGAGCCCGCGCCGGAGCGCCCCCUGCAGCCACGUGGGGAUCAUCGCACCUGCCCUGUCCACCAGGAGCCUGCCAGUGCCCCUGCUGGCUGUGACCGUAACUACACCUAAGGGGAAAGUGCCGCAGCCGAAAAGGCUGUCACUGGGUUUGUGGUUCUGUUUGUUGUUAAUGACAUAGUUGUUGUUGUUGCUUGAUUAUACAUACUAGUAAAGAACUGCUAUUCCUAUUCCCA